UACGGAGGAUGCGAGCGUUAUCCGGAUUUAUUGGGUUUAAAGGGUGCGUAGGCGGGAUGCCAAGUCAGCGGUAAAAAUGCGGUGCUCAACGCCGUCGAGCCGUUGAUACUGGCGUUCUUGAGUGGGCGAGAAGUAUGCGGAAUGCGUGGUGUAGCGGUGAAAUGCAUAGAUAUCACGCAGAACUCCGAUUGCGAAGGCAGCAUACCGGCGCCCUACUGACGCUGAGGCACGAAAGCGUGGGUAUCGAACAGG
RNAcentral lists this ribosomal RNA (252 nucleotides) under uncultured bacterium. RNAcentral's name for it is "partial 16S ribosomal RNA". It matches the Rfam family "Bacterial small subunit ribosomal RNA", at positions 524 to 776 of the family's 1533-position model. The record is from RNAcentral.